AGGAUGAACGCUGGCGGCGUGCUUAACACAUGCAAGUCGAACGAGAAAGCUCCUUCGGGAGUGAGUACAGUGGCGAACGGGUGCGUAACACGUUGGUGACCUGCCUUGAGGAGGGGGACAACCGUGGGAAACCACGGCUAAUACCCCGGAUGUCUAAACUGUUAGAGGGUUUAGACUAAAGCUUCGGUGCCUCAAGAGGGGCCUGCGGGCUAUCAGCUUGUUGGUGGGGUAAUGGCCUACCAAGGCUAAGACGGCUAGGGGGCGUGAGAGCGCGACCCCCCACAAUGGAACUGAGACACGGUCCAUACUCCUACGGGAGGCAGCAGUGAGGAAUAUUGCGCAAUGGGGGAAACCCUGACGCAGCAACGCCGCGUGAACGAUGAAGGCCUUCGGGUCGUAAAGUUCUUUUCUAAGGGAAGAUAGUGACGGUACCUUAGGAAUAAGUCCCGGCUAACUACGUGCCAGCAGCCGCGGUAAAACGUAGGGGGCGAGCGUUAUCCGGAUUUAUUGGGCGUAAAGCGCACGUAGGUGGCGCUGUAAGUUAGACGUGAAAGCUCUCGGCUCAACUGAGAGAGGUCGUUUAAAACUGCAGUGCUUGAGGUUAGAAGAGGAGAGCAGAAUUCCCGGUGUAGUGGUGGAAUGCGUAGAUAUCGGGAGGAAUACCAGUGGCGAAGGCGGCUCUCUAGUCUACACCUGACACUGAGGUGCGAAAGCGUGGGUAGCGAACGGGAUUAGAUACCCCGGUAGUCCACGCUGUAAACGAUGGAUACUAGGUGUAGGGGGUCAUUUAACCCCUCUGAGCCGAAGCAAACGCGUUAAGUAUCCCGCCUGGGGACUACGGCCGCAAGGUUAAAACUCAAAGGAAUUGACGGGGCACCGCACAAGCAGCGGAGCGUGUGGUUUAAUUCGAUGAUACGCGAAGAACCUGACCUGGGCUGAACUACGUGGUAGUACUGAAGCGAAAGCGGAUCGACCCUUCGGGGAGCCUCGAUAGGUGCUGCAUGGCUGUCGUCAGCUCGUGUCGUGAGAUGUU
This 1033-nucleotide ribosomal RNA is filed under the name uncultured organism. Its description in RNAcentral is "bacterial SSU rRNA". It matches the Rfam family "Bacterial small subunit ribosomal RNA", at positions 26 to 1076 of the family's 1533-position model. The record is from RNAcentral.